Molecule: ribosomal RNA, 253 nt
Filed under: uncultured bacterium
Lineage: Bacteria
Description: partial 16S ribosomal RNA
Rfam family: Bacterial small subunit ribosomal RNA
Source: RNAcentral
UACAGAGGGGGCAAGCGUUGUUCGGAAUUACUGGGCGUAAAGGGCGCGUAGGCGGCCUGCUAAGUCGAACGUGAAAUCCCCGAGCUCAACUCGGGAACUGCGUCCGAUACUGGCAGGCUUGAAUCCGGGAGAGGGAUGCGGAAUUCCUAGUGUAGCGGUGAAAUGCGUAGAGAUUAGGAAGAACACCAGUGGCGAAGGCGACUCUCUGGACUGUAACUGACACUGAGGCUCGAAAGCGUGGGGAGCAAACAGG